UUCUGGGUUGCAGAUACUUAAGCAGAGCCACGUCUUUUCUGUAAUGCAACACAGCAGUUGCAUCAAAGCAGGAGAUUUAGGCAGCGAAUAUUAAACCAGGCAUUUACAGCAUGUUAUGUGGUUAGAGGGGCUACAGCAGCCUGUGAACGUCAGGGCAGCUCCCUUGCCACACAACUGGCACAGCAAUGCCAGCGCAGAUUCAGGAGUAAAGACAAUGUUGAGGUUCAGCUGCAACAAAAGUGUGGAUACGGACAGAUUUUGACAUGGCCAACAUCACCGGUCAGCUGCCAGUGAUGUACUCAUUGAAAUACGCCGGUACUCAGAGGAAGAAUUGAGUCCCUGAGAUAAGCAUCCACUGGUUUGGUGGCAAGAACAUGAACAAACCUUCCCAUCCCUAAGCAGACUUGCAGUGUGAUACCUGGGAAUUGUUGCUUCUUCUGUACCUGUGGAGAGAAUCUUUUCAAAGGCAGGAGAGGUUAUGAGCAAAAAAACGCAGUGGACUUAAAGGGAAAAAUGUAAAUAUGCUGCUGUUCCUAAACAAAAACCUGUGGAUGGGGGAAAGUGUUUUACAUUUUUUUAUUGAAAUGUUCAUGCAAGUUAAAUGGUAAGAUAUACAUGUU
Molecule: long non-coding RNA, 620 nt
Organism: Brienomyrus brachyistius
Lineage: Eukaryota; Metazoa; Chordata; Actinopteri; Osteoglossiformes; Mormyridae
Exons: 3
Source: RefSeq, a predicted model, not a curated record